This 98-nucleotide small RNA is filed under the name Arabidopsis thaliana (thale cress). Its description in RNAcentral is "ATSL231030". The record is from RNAcentral. Lineage: Eukaryota; Viridiplantae; Streptophyta; Magnoliopsida; Brassicales; Brassicaceae.
ACAAAAAUUAUUAAUCAUACAUCAUGUCAUCACUUUGCCUUAAUUUGUUGGUUAAUAUAGAGCAUAUGUUGGCUAAUAAAAAGAAGAAGAAGAAACUA